This 216-nucleotide long non-coding RNA is filed under the name Elaeis guineensis (African oil palm). RNAcentral's name for it is "long non-coding RNA (EGUI_LNC033718)". Lineage: Eukaryota; Viridiplantae; Streptophyta; Magnoliopsida; Arecales; Arecaceae. The record is from RNAcentral.
CUUCCAUUUCCACGUUUAAAUAAUCUUUCUCCACCCAUCAUCUUCUCCAUUUCCUUAAUAAAAAACUCAUCCCACCUUCCUUCCACAGUUCCAUUCUCAGAAAGCUUUGUCACUUAGCUCCGUUAAUCCAUGUGAGUUUGUACAUAAGUAUGCUUAUUGGUGUGUUUACUUAUGUAUUAGCAUAUAUUAGUGCUCGUGGUUUGUAUUUAAGUUUGU